This 301-nucleotide long non-coding RNA is filed under the name Carica papaya (papaya). Its description in RNAcentral is "long non-coding RNA (CPAP_LNC013016)". Lineage: Eukaryota; Viridiplantae; Streptophyta; Magnoliopsida; Brassicales; Caricaceae. The record is from RNAcentral.
AUAAAAAACCCUCCUAUUCAAUGUGAUACUCCAAGACUAAUACAAAUCAUCUUAAAUCAGUCCUUAGCAACUAUCAUAUCUUGAUUCACCACUAAUCUAAAUAUUCUAGGUAAAGCUAUCAUAAAAGCUUUAUCCUCACCAAAAUCACCAAUACUUAUCUUCUAAAGGUCCUAAUCCAAUUAAGUAUGAAUGUUUUCGAGAUUCUUUACCUAUUUAGGCUUAUUAAUUCACCAAGUUAUUGAAGUCGUUAAUCUUGAAGUUGAGUUUAACUAUAAGUGACAUUAUUUUCAAUAGUUUUGAU